UGGGGAAUAUUGCACAAUGGGCGCAAGCCUGAUGCAGCCAUGCCGCGUGUGUGAAGAAGGCCUUCGGGUUGUAAAGCACUUUCAGCGAGGAGGAAGGUGGUGAACUUAAUACGUUCAUCAAUUGACGUUACUCGCAGAAGAAGCACCGGCUAACUCCGUGCCAGCAGCCGCGGUAAUACGGAGGGUGCAAGCGUUAAUCGGAAUUACUGGGCGUAAAGCGCACGCAGGCGGUUUGUUAAGUCAGAUGUGAAAUCCCCGGGCUCAACCUGGGAACUGCAUUUGAAACUGGCAAGCUAGAGUCUCGUAGAGGGGGGUAGAAUUCCAGGUGUAGCGGUGAAAUGCGUAGAGAUCUGGAGGAAUACCGGUGGCGAAGGCGGCCCCCCUGGACGAAGACUGACGCUCAGGUGCGAAAAGGCGUGGGGGAGCAAAACAGGAUUAGAUACCCUGGUAGUCCACGCUGUAAAACGAUGUCGAUUUUGGAGGUUGUGCCCUUGAGGCGUGGCUUCCGGAGCUAACGCGUUAAAUCGACCGCCUGGGGAGUACGGCCGCAAGGUU
Molecule: ribosomal RNA, 555 nt
Filed under: uncultured bacterium
Lineage: Bacteria
Description: partial 16S ribosomal RNA
Rfam family: Bacterial small subunit ribosomal RNA
Source: RNAcentral